CGUGUUCAAGACUCUGGAUGGGUAGGGGAGCGUCGUGUCGCGAGUGAAGCCUCGGAGUGAUCCAGGGGUGGACGCGACACGAGUGAGAAUGCAGGCAUGAGUAGCGAAUGAGGAGUGAGAAACUCCUCCGCCGAAUGAUCAAGGGUUCCAGGGUCAAGCUAAUCUGCCCUGGGUAAGUCGGGACCUAAGGCGAGGCCGACAGGCGUAGUCGAUGGACAACGGGUUGAUAUUCCCGUACCCGUGUAUCC
This 248-nucleotide ribosomal RNA is filed under the name Ditylum brightwellii. RNAcentral's name for it is "partial Bacterial large subunit ribosomal RNA". It matches the Rfam family "Bacterial large subunit ribosomal RNA", at positions 1204 to 1454 of the family's 2925-position model. Lineage: Eukaryota; Bacillariophyta; Thalassiosirophyceae; Lithodesmiales; Lithodesmiaceae. The record is from RNAcentral.